UGCUUGCACCUGGUGGCGAGUGGCGAACGGGUGAGUAAUAUAUCGGGAACGACCUUAUCUGGGGGGAUAACGCAGCGAAAGCUGCGCUAAUACCGCAUACGCCCUGAGGGGGAAAGCGGGGGACCGUAAGGCCUCGCGCGAUUAGAGCGGCCGAUAUCUGAUUAGCUUGUUGGUGGGGUAAAAGCCUACCAAGGCGACGAUCCUUAGCUGUUCUGAGAGGAAGAUCAGCCACACUGGGACUGAGACACGGCCCAGACUCCUACGGGAGGCAGCAGUAAGGAAUAUUGGACAAUGGAGGGAACUCUGAUCCAGCCAUGCCGCGUGAAGGAUGAAGGCGCUCAGCGUUGUAAACUUCUUUUGGAUGGGAACAAUAACUUCUACGUGUAGGAGCUUGAGGGUACCAUCAGAAUAAGCACCGGCUAACUCCGUG
Molecule: ribosomal RNA, 430 nt
Filed under: uncultured bacterium
Lineage: Bacteria
Description: bacterial SSU rRNA
Rfam family: Bacterial small subunit ribosomal RNA
Source: RNAcentral